GACGAACGCUGGCGGCGUGCUUAACACAUGCAAGUCGAACGGAGUGGCGAAAGGGUGAGUAACACGAGGGUGAUCUGCCUUGCACUUCGGGCUAAGCUUGGGAAAAUGGGUGUAAUACCGGAUAGUGCAAGAUGAGCUCGCGGCCUAGCAGCUUGUUGGUGGGGUAAUGGCCUACCAAGGCGUGGCCGGGUAGCCGGCCUGAGAGGGUGUAAGGCCACAUUGGGACUGGGAGACGGCCCAGACUCCUACGUGAGGCAGCAGUGGGGAAUAUUGCACAAUGGGCGGAAGCCUGAUGCAGCGACGCCGCGUGUGGGAUGAAGGCCUUCGGGUUGUAAACUCCUUUCGACAGGGACGCGGUACCUGUAUAAGAAGCACCGGCUAACUACGUGCCAGCCGCCGCGGUAAUAC
This 408-nucleotide ribosomal RNA is filed under the name uncultured bacterium. Its description in RNAcentral is "partial 16S ribosomal RNA". It matches the Rfam family "Bacterial small subunit ribosomal RNA", at positions 28 to 526 of the family's 1533-position model. The record is from RNAcentral.